Molecule: ribosomal RNA, 497 nt
Filed under: uncultured bacterium
Lineage: Bacteria
Description: partial 16S ribosomal RNA
Rfam family: Bacterial small subunit ribosomal RNA
Source: RNAcentral
GAUGAACGCUGGCGGCGUGCCUAAUACAUGCAAGUCGAGCGAACGGACGAGAAGCUUGCUUCUCUGAUGUUAGCGGCGGACGGGUGAGUAACACGUGGAUAACCUACCUAUAAGACUGGGAUAACUUCGGGAAACCGGAGCUAAUACCGGAUCAUAUUUUGAACCGCAUGGUUCAAAAGUGAAAGACGGUCUUGCUGUCACUUAUAGAUGGAUCCGCGCUGCAUUAGCUAGUUGGUAAGGUAACGGCUUACCAAGGCAACGAUGCGUAGCCGACCUGAGAGGAUGAUCGGCCACACUGGAACUGAGACACGGUCCAGACUCCUACGGGAGGCAGCAGUGGGGAAUAUUCCGCAAUGGGCGAAAGCCUGACGGAGCAACGCCGCGUGAGUGAUGAAGGUCUUCGGAUCGUAAAACUCUGUUAUUAGGGAAGAACAUAUGUGUAAGUAACUGUGCACAUCUUGACGGUACCUAAUCAGAAAGCCACGGCUAACUACGUG